CGGAGGAAAAGAAACCAACCGGGAUUGCCUUAGUAACGGCGAGUGAAGCGGCAAAAGCUCAAAUUUGAAAUCUGGUACCUUCGGUGCCCGAGUUGUAAUUUGGAGAGGGCAACUUUGGGGCCGUUCCUUGUCUAUGUUCCUUGGAACAGGACGUCAUAGAGGGUGAGAAUCCCGUGUGGCGAGGAGUGCGGUUCUUUGUAAAGUGCCUUCGAAGAGUCGAGUUGUUUGGGAAUGCAGCUCUAAGUGGGUGGUAAAUUCCAUCUAAAGCUAAAUAUUGGCGAGAGACCGAUAGCGAACAAGUACAGUGAUGGAAAGAUGAAAAGAACUUUGAAAAGAGAGUGAAAAAGUACGUGAAAUUGUUGAAAGGGAAGGGCAUUUGAUCAGACAUGGUGUUUUGUGCCCUCUGCUCCUUGUGGGUAGGGGAAUCUCGCAUUUCACUGGGCCAGCAUCAGUUUUGGUGGCAGGAUAAAUCCAUAGGAAUGUAGCUUGCCUCGGUAAGUAUUAUAGCCUGUGGGAAUACUGCCAGCUGGGACUGAGGACUGCGACGUAAGUCAAGGAUGC
Molecule: ribosomal RNA, 561 nt
Filed under: Saccharomyces cerevisiae (brewer's yeast)
Lineage: Eukaryota; Fungi; Ascomycota; Saccharomycetes; Saccharomycetales; Saccharomycetaceae
Description: eukaryotic LSU rRNA
Rfam family: Eukaryotic large subunit ribosomal RNA
Source: RNAcentral